Molecule: ribosomal RNA, 253 nt
Filed under: uncultured bacterium
Lineage: Bacteria
Description: partial 16S ribosomal RNA
Rfam family: Bacterial small subunit ribosomal RNA
Source: RNAcentral
UACAGAGGGUGCGAGCGUUGUCCGGAAUCACUGGGCGUAAAGGGCGCGUAGGCGGUCCGGUAAGCGUGUGGUGAAAGCUCGGGGCUCAACCCCGAGUCGGCCAUGCGAACUGCGGGACUGGAGCAUGUCAGAGGCAGGCGGAAUUCCGGGUGUAGCGGUGGAAUGCGUAGAGAUCCGGAAGAACACCGGUGGCGAAGGCGGCCUGCUGGGACAUUGCUGACGCUGAGGCGCGACAGCGUGGGGAGCAAACAGG